CCCGUUUUGGCACUAGAUAUGUUAAAAUUGGAACAAUGCAAAGAAGAUGAGACAUUAUCCUUGAACAAAGGUGAUAUACAAAUCUGUGAAGUGGUCCAUGUGUUU
Molecule: small nuclear RNA, 105 nt
Organism: Lutra lutra (Eurasian river otter)
Lineage: Eukaryota; Metazoa; Chordata; Mammalia; Carnivora; Mustelidae
Source: RefSeq, a predicted model, not a curated record